RNAcentral lists this ribosomal RNA (497 nucleotides) under uncultured bacterium. RNAcentral describes it as "partial 16S ribosomal RNA". It matches the Rfam family "Bacterial small subunit ribosomal RNA", at positions 28 to 507 of the family's 1533-position model. The record is from RNAcentral.
GAUGAACGCUGGCGGCGUGCCUAAUACAUGCAAGUCGAGCGAACGGACGAGAAGCUUGCUUUUCUGAUGUUAGCGGCGGACGGGUGAGUAACACGUGGAUAACCUACCUAUAAGACUGGGAUAACUUCGGGAAACCGGAGCUAAUACCGGAUAAUAUUUUGAACCGCAUGGUUCAUAAGUGAAAGACGGUCUUGCUGUCACUUAUAGAUGGAUCCGCGCUGCAUUAGCUAGUUGGUAAGGUAACGGCUUACCAAGGCAACGAUGCAUAGCCGACCUGAGAGGGUGAUCGGCCACACUGGAACUGAGACACGGUCCAGACUCCUACGGGAGGCAGCAGUAGGGAAUCUUCCGCAAUGGGCGAAAGCCUGACGGAGCAACGCCGCGUGAGUGAUGAAGGUCUUCGGAUCGUAAAACUCUGUUAUUAGGGAAGAACAUAUGUGUAAGUAACUGUGCACAUCAUGACGGUACCUAAUCAGAAAGCCACGGCUAACUACGUG